Molecule: long non-coding RNA, 234 nt
Filed under: Brassica napus (rape)
Lineage: Eukaryota; Viridiplantae; Streptophyta; Magnoliopsida; Brassicales; Brassicaceae
Description: long non-coding RNA (BNAP_LNC013457)
Source: RNAcentral
AAAAAAAAAUUUUUGUAUAAUUUGAAGCUCUUGCUUAAAUAUUUUCUUUUUCUUACUACUUGCCUUCAAGAGGUGCUCUUUUAAGAAUUAUUAAACUCCAAUCUUCCAAGAUUUUCUUCUUUAACACACAACAAAUUCGAGUGAAACACUCUUUUUCGAUCCUACUUUUGUCCUCUUACACAUUUUUUCUCAAAGAAGUCAAGUUGAUCCUACAAUGACUAAUAUCUACCAACU